RNAcentral lists this non-coding RNA (190 nucleotides) under Polyangiaceae bacterium. RNAcentral describes it as "6S RNA". It matches the Rfam family "6S / SsrS RNA". From Rfam's summary of the family: E. coli 6S RNA was the first non coding RNA to be sequenced, but its function was unknown until recently. It consists of 184 nucleotides that fold into an extended hairpin structure with a large single-stranded internal bulge. The 6S RNA specifically associates with RNA polymerase holoenzyme containing the sigma70 specificity factor. The record is from RNAcentral. Lineage: Bacteria; Pseudomonadati; Myxococcota; Polyangiales; Polyangiaceae.
UUCCCUCUGCUGGUCUCUGUGAGGUGAUUGAAUAUUGAAUCCCGAGUAAGCAUUGAACCAGGGGCCCACCAGUUGUCGUGGUGUGCAAGCCCGGCAUAGCGACCGGGAAGCCUAAAACGGCACAUCGGGCACCCACCUAGCGCAAGCUAGGGGUUCAGUUCAAUCGGCCCACGUUUCUGGCGGUAGGAAC